GACGAACGCUGGCGGCGUGCCUAAUACAUGCAAGUAGAACGCACAGUUUAUACCGUAGCUUGCUACACCAUAGACUGUGAGUUGCGAACGGGUGAGUAACGCGUAGGUAACCUGCCUGGUAGCGGGGGAUAACUAUUGGAAACGAUAGCUAAUACCGCAUAAUAUUAAUUAUUGCAUGAUAAUUAAUUGAAAGGUGCAAUUGCACCACUACCAGAUGGGCCUGCGUCGUAUUAGCUAGUAGGUGAGGUAACGGCUCACCUAGGCGACGAUACAUAGCCGACCUGAGAGGGUGAUCGGCCACACUGGGACUGAGACACGGCCCAGACUCCUACGGGAGGCAGCAGUAGGGAAUCUUCGGCAAUGGACGAAAGUCUGACCGAGCAACGCCGCGUGAGUGAAGAAGGUUUUCGGAUCGUAAAGCUCUGUUGUAAGAGAAGAACGGGUGUGAGAGUGGAAAGUUCACACUGUGACGGUAUCUUACCAGAAAGGGACGGCUAACUACGUG
This 505-nucleotide ribosomal RNA is filed under the name uncultured bacterium. Its description in RNAcentral is "partial 16S ribosomal RNA". It matches the Rfam family "Bacterial small subunit ribosomal RNA", at positions 28 to 507 of the family's 1533-position model. The record is from RNAcentral.